RNAcentral lists this ribosomal RNA (383 nucleotides) under uncultured bacterium. Its description in RNAcentral is "bacterial SSU rRNA". It matches the Rfam family "Bacterial small subunit ribosomal RNA", at positions 376 to 774 of the family's 1533-position model. The record is from RNAcentral.
CGCAAGCCUGACGGAGCAACGCCGCGUGAGGGAUGAAGGCCUCUGGGCUGUAAACCUCUUUUCUCAAGGAAGAAGAUCUGACGGUACUUGAGGAAUAAGCCACGGCUAAUUCCGUGCCAGCAGCCGCGGUAAUACGGGAGUGGCAAGCGUUAUCCGGAAUUAUUGUGCGUAAAGCGUCCGCAGGCGGCCUUGAAAGUCUGUCGUUAAAGCGUGGAGCUUAACUCCAUUUCGGCGGUGGAAACUACAAGGCUUGAGUGUGGUAGGGGCAGAGGGAAUUCCCGGUGUAGCGGUGAAAUGCGUAGAUAUCGGGAAGAACACCAGUGGCGAAGGCGCUCUGCUGGGCCAUAACUGACGCUCAUGGACGAAAGCCAGGGGAGCGAAAG